CCUGAUUUUUAUAGGAGGUCUAGCCUGCCCAGUGACAAAGUUAAACGGCCGCGGUACCCUAACCGUGCAAAGGUAGCGCAAUCACUUGUUCUUUAAAUGAGGACUAGUAUGAACGGCAUCACGAGGGUUAUGCUGUCUCCCUACUUUAUUCAGUGAAACUGAUCUCCCCGUGAAGAGGCGGGGAUAAAAAUAUAAGACGAGAAGACCCCAUGGAGCUUUAAACUCAGUGUCAACUGCCAUAUUUAAAACCUAAUAUUCAAGCAAGUUAUGACUACUAGUUUUCGGUUGGGGUGACCACGGAGUAAAACCUAACCUCCACGAUGAAAGGAAAUAACAGCCUAAAUUAAGAGCUACAGCUCUAAAUAUCAAUAAAUUGACUUAUUGAUCCAAUUAAUUGAUCAACGAACCA
Molecule: ribosomal RNA, 409 nt
Filed under: Microhyla heymonsi (Taiwan rice frog)
Lineage: Eukaryota; Metazoa; Chordata; Amphibia; Anura; Microhylidae
Description: partial 16S ribosomal RNA
Rfam family: Bacterial large subunit ribosomal RNA
Source: RNAcentral